GAUGAACGCUGGCGGCGUGCCUAAUACAUGCAAGUCGAGCGAACAGACUAGUAGCUUGCUCCUCUGACGUUAGCGGCGGACGGGUGAGUAACACGUGGAUAACCUACCUAUAAGACUGGGAUAACUUCGGGAAACCGGAGCUAAUACCGGAUAAUAUAUUUAACCGCAUGGUUCAAUAGUGAAAGACGGUUUUGCUGUCACUUAUAGAUGGAUCCGCGCCGCAUUAGCUAGUUGGUAAGGUAACGGCUUACCAAGGCGACGAUGCGUAGCCGACCUGAGAGGGUGAUCGGCCACACUGGAACUGAGACACGGUCCAGACUCCUACGGGAGGCAGCAGUAGGGAAUCUUCCGCAAUGGGCGAAAGCCUGACGGAGCAACGCCGCGUGAGUGAUGAAGGUCUUCGGAUCGUAAAACUCUGUUAUUAGGGAAGAACAAAUGUGUAAGUAACUAUGCACGUCUUGACGGUACCUAAUCAGAAAGCCACGGCUAACUACGUG
This 497-nucleotide ribosomal RNA is filed under the name uncultured bacterium. Its description in RNAcentral is "partial 16S ribosomal RNA". It matches the Rfam family "Bacterial small subunit ribosomal RNA", at positions 28 to 507 of the family's 1533-position model. The record is from RNAcentral.